UGGAGACCCAGAAAAACACUAGUGUAAUUCAGUCUGAGGCCUGAGAACCAGGGAGCCACUGGUGUAAGUCCCUUAGUCCAAAGGCCUGAGAACCAGGAGCCCCCCUGUCAGAAGGCAGGAAAAGAUGGAUGUCCCAAUUCAAGGAGAGAGAGAGAAUUCACCCUUCCUUUGUCUUUUUGUUCUAUUCAGGCCCCUAACGGACUGGAUGAUGCUCAGCCACAUUGACCGUAGCUCGGCCUGUGAUUUGCUUUGACCAGUAGAAUGUUGUGGAUGACUCCAUGUAACUUCUGUGGCUGAGCCGUAAGAGAUCUGUAGCUUCCUCUUUCAUGCAGUGGAUCACUCCCUCUCGGAUCCAACCCUUGGACUGUGAGAAGCUCAAGCUACAUAGAAUGGUCACAGUGAGGAGGACUGAGGCAAUUUGGUUGGUGAGCUCCCACGGACAGCCCGUACCAACAGCGAUGUGAAUAAGCCAUCUUGGAGGUUCCAGCCCACUGGAGCUGUCAGAUGACUAUAGUCCCAACAGUACCACAUGAAGCAGAACCACCCAGCUGAGCUCAGCAAACCCAUAGAAUCAGGGGAGAGAAUACCUGAUGCUUGUUUUUGUUUUGUUUUUAAGUCGCUGAGUAGUGCCGUGGUUCGAUAUGCAGUCAUAACUGAAAAAGGUAAUUGGGGAAGCAUAUGUAAAGAGCUUGUGAAGGGGAAGAGCUUGCUAUGUUAACAGAAUAAAAAUGAGGCUCCUUGAGGACAGAGAAUUAUCUUACAUGCACAUUCCCUGGCCAGUUAUAGGGUACUAGAUAGAUGUGCAUGAGUCAUUGAAUGAACCAAUUUAUUUCCAUUCCUCCGCCCAUGAGAUUCUUAUUCAUCCUUUAAGGCUUAACUAAAAUUUGGUCUCUCCCUGCACUAUUCUCUAUUUACUGCAAUUUAUAUACACCUGUAUUUCUCUAAUCUAUUUUUAUACAAAUAAUCAAUGGCACAAGUUGCUACAUUUUUUUAUGUCUAAUUCCUUUGUGUGUGUUAUUGUUUCUUUCCAACCAGCAGCCAUGGACCUUGAAGCUAGAAGCCUGUCCUCAUCCUCAGUCAUUAUUUCCUUUUGGCUCUAAUAUGGUACUAGGCUCAUUAAAUCACUGCUUGUCUGUUGCUAAUACCCAAGAGACUCAAUUCAACACUAAUUCAACAAUGCUAUGCCCACAUGGAAGCAAUAUUCAAUAUAUUUGGGAGGUAGCUGGAUCCAUUUAAUGGUUUUCAAAUAUUGAGGAGCUUGGGAAAAUGUGUUUGUGUAUUUUAGGUGUGGUUCCAGUUACCUAACUUUUGGCAACCAUUUAAAUUUAUUGCGUAAACUUCUUAGGUUCCAUGAAAGAGUAUAAGAACCCUUAAUAAGUGAAACAGAAGCCCUGUGAGUCAAAUAAAAAUAAUAGCUUCAGAUUGGACCUUCAGUAAGGAAAUAAUUGUCAAGUAAAUAAACUUGCAAGGGUUCUACUUCAUUACGUUACUCAGCGAUGCAUCGGCUAAUGGUUGUUUCAAGAAAGAAAGUGGUAACUAACAGACAGGGGUUCUUGAUACUGGCCUCCAAGGUACCUGACUUGUCACAAAGGCAAGCGGGGCACAUUUUCCUUUAAGUGGAGAAAAUGAAAAUAAAACAUGAAAGCUCCCUCGAAUAUCUAACGUAGAUCUUGUGUAGAUACACACAAGACACUCAGGAUGGUAUUAGUAUAAGUAGGUAUCAGGUUAUAAAGAAAAUCAGGAUAUAAUCUUGUGAGAUACUGAAUGGAACCAGAAAGGUUGUUUCACAAUAAUUUAAACAUUUUUUAAAGUUUGUGUAUUUCUUCUCAAAGCACACUUUUUCCCCUCUUCGUUACAAGAAAAUUAGAACGGACACCUUUCAAAGGCUCUCAAGGUAGGAUAGCUGUAUUCUGCAGUGAAUACCAGAGAAACCACAGAAUAAUUACAAAGAAAAUACCUAAGCCAAAGCCAAUCAAAACAGCCCCUACAGGCUUCAGCAGGCUUCCUUCAGGCCUGAUUCUUCCUAAAAGGAGAAAUGCUUUAUGCAAUCUAUUGAUAAGAUAUGAGACAGACAAAAAUCCUAUUGACUCCCACAUGCUGCUCGUUUUUAGACGGAGAAGCACAUUGUCUACUAUCAAAUAGGAAUUUUUCUUUGUAAUAUGCUUCAAUUAUCUGUCCAGAUCACUGCUCUGUAAGCUGCUAUAAAUAAAACACAUUAUUUAUAAUGAAAGUUGGAAGAGCAGACAGAUGAAUGAGUUUUCAAACAUGCAGCUUUCCAGCAACGCCAGAGUCCAACACAUAAUGUCAUCUAAACAUAUGAGUCUGUCCAUUAGAAGCCCUUUCUUUCCAGGAUGCCUUUUAAAACAAAUCUCAUUUUACUAUCCUAUUGUAAAAUGUUUUUGAGUUAAGCAGGGUCUACUUAUAUCACUUAGCAUUUCUCGCAGUAUAGUAGAGAGCUAGAACAGCUUAGCUGUAUUUUCUUUUAAUAUGAGAAGCUAAUUUUGAUCUCUCUCCUCCCACUCAAACUUUUAGUAUUACAGCCAGAGAAGCAGAGGGGAGAUUGACGACAGAGUCAGGGAGAGAGUUACCCACUGGCCACUCUGAUCUCUCAGUCUGUCAUUUGAUGACAUAAUAGGUAAGAAAACAUGAAAGCAGGGGUCAAUUUUUCUAACCUACCAGAUUAAGUUUGCUCCCUCCUGAGCCAACCAUUAUGGACAUCUGAGCCAUGUGGCAUUAGUGGUAAUGACUGUAAACACAGUGUAUAGAAAGUCAGAUACUGUGCAAGUUAUGAGAUAAAAGAUAACAAAGCCUAUUUGAAAGAUAAAUGUGUGUAUCCAGUGUGUGUAUCCAGUAGUUGAAACAGUUAGUUAGGGGAAGGAAAGUAGUAAUUAUUCCCAUCUUAAAUUAAGCAACUUGGUUGGUUAACACUGACGCUAAACCACGUGCUUUUAACCACUACCCACUGCUACAUCCGUAAAGUUAUGAUUAUAGAUUUCUGGAGUUAUCCAGAAAAAGCCACCAGUCAUAGGAAGACCCUGGUUCACUUGCUAUCAAUAUUCCUCAAAAC
Equus caballus (horse) is the source of this 3067-nucleotide non-coding RNA. Lineage: Eukaryota; Metazoa; Chordata; Mammalia; Perissodactyla; Equidae. The record is from RefSeq and is a predicted model, not a curated record.